RNAcentral lists this microRNA (23 nucleotides) under Mus musculus (house mouse). Its description in RNAcentral is "mature star microRNA mmu-mir-100*". The record is from RNAcentral. Lineage: Eukaryota; Metazoa; Chordata; Mammalia; Rodentia; Muridae.
ACAAGCUUGUGUCUAAUAGGUAU